AUUUUGACUGUACAAAGGUAGCAUAAUCAAUAGUCUCUUAAUUGGUGACUUGUAUGAAAGAUUGGAUGAGAUAUAUACUGUCUCUUGUUAAUUUAUAGAAAUUAAUUUUUUAGUAAAAAAGCUAAAAUAAUUUUAAAAGACGAGAAGACCCUAUAGAGUUUAAUAAUUUAUUUAAUUAUUAUUAAUAUAUAAUUUUUAAAAUUAAAAUUAAAUAAAUUAUUUUGUUGGGGUGAUAGAAAAAUUAAAUUAACUUUUUUUAAUUAUUUACAUUAAUUUAUGGUUAAAUGAUCCAUUUAUAAUGAUUAAAAGAAAAAAUUACCUUAGGGAUAACAGCGUAAUUUUUUUUUUUAGUUCAAAUAGGAAGAAAAG
This 369-nucleotide ribosomal RNA is filed under the name Papilio bootes nigricauda. RNAcentral's name for it is "partial 16S ribosomal RNA". Lineage: Eukaryota; Metazoa; Arthropoda; Insecta; Lepidoptera; Papilionidae. The record is from RNAcentral.